RNAcentral lists this ribosomal RNA (1423 nucleotides) under metagenome. RNAcentral's name for it is "bacterial SSU rRNA". It matches the Rfam family "Bacterial small subunit ribosomal RNA". The record is from RNAcentral.
GCUUGCUCCGCUGACGAGUGGCGAACGGGUGAGUAAUAUAUCGGAACGUACCAUUCAGUGGGGGAUAACGUAGCGAAAGUUACGCUAAUACCGCAUAUUCUGUGAGCAGGAAAGCAGGGGAUCGCAAGACCUUGUGCUGAUUGAGCGGCCGAUAUCAGAUUAGCUUGUUGGUGAGGUAAAAGCUCACCAAGGCGACGAUCUGUAGCGGGUCUGAGAGGAUGAUCCGCCACACUGGAACUGUGACACGGUCCAGACUCCUACGGGAGGCAGCAGUGGGGAAUUUUGGGCAAUGGGGGCAACCCUUAUCCAGCCAUGCCGCGUGAGUGAAGAAGGCCUUCGGGUUGUAAAGCUCUUUCAGCCGGGAAGAAAACGCAUGGGUUAAUACCCUGUGUGGAUGACGGUACCGGAAUAAGAAGCACCGGCUAACUACGUGCCAGCAGCCGCGGUAAUACGUAGGGUGCGAGCGUUAAUCGGAAUUACUGGGCGUAAAGCGUGCGCAGGCGGUUUUGUAAGACAGGCGUGAAAUCCCCGGGCUUAACCUGGGAACUGCGUUUGUGACUGCAAGGCUAGAGUACGGCAGAGGGGGGUGGAAUUCCACGUGUAGCAGUGAAAUGCGUAGAGAUGUGGAGGAACACCAAUGGCGAAGGCAGCCCCCUGGGUCGAUACUGACGCUCAUGCACGAAAGCGUGGGUAGCAAACAGGAUUAGAUACCCUGGUAGUCCACGCCCUAAACGAUGUCAACUAGGUGUUGGGAGGGUAAAACCUUUUAGUACCGGAGCUAACGCGUGAAGUUGACCGCCUGGGGAGUACGGCCGCAAGGUUAAAACUCAAAGGAAUUGACGGGGACCCGCACAAGCGGUGGAUGAUGUGGAUUAAUUCGAUGCAACGCGAAAAACCUUACCUACCCUUGACAUGCCAAGAACUUUCCAGAGAUGGAUUGGUGCCCGAAAGGGAACUUGGACACAGGUGCUGCAUGGCUGUCGUCAGCUCGUGUCGUGAGAUGUUGGGUUAGGUCCCGCAACGAGCGCAACCCUUGUCGUUAUUGCCAUCAUUUAGUUGGGCACUUUAACGAGACUGCCGGUGACAAACCGGAGGAAGGUGGGGAUGACGUCAAGUCCUCAUGGCCCUUAUGGGUAGGGCUUCACACGUCAUACAAUGGUCGGUACAAAGGGUCGCCAAGCCGCGAGGUGGAGCCAAUCCCAAAAGCCGAUCGUAGUCCGGAUCGCAGUCUGCAACUCGACUGCGUGAAGUCGGAAUCGCUAGUAAUCGUGGAUCAGAAUGUCACGGUGAAUACGUUCCCGGGUCUUGUACACACCGCCCGUCACACCAUGGGAGCGGGUUCCGCCAGAAGUAGGUAGCCUAACCGCAAGGAGGGCGCUUACCACGGCGGGGUUCGUGACUGGGGUGAAGUCGUAACAAGGUA